UGGCUGGAAUCCCUGAGAGAUUGGGGAGUGCUCGAAAGAGAACCAGUACACAGGUGCUGCAUGGCUGUCGUCAGCUCGUGUCGUGAGAUGUUGGGUUAAGUCCCGCAACGAGCGCAACCCUUGUCAUUAGUUGCUACGAAAGGGCACUCUAAUGAGACUGCCGGUGACAAACCGGAGGAAGGUGGGGAUGACGUCAAGUCCUCAUGGCCCUUAUGGGUAGGGCUUCACACGUCAUACAAUGGUACAUACAGAGCGCCGCCAACCCGCGAGGGGGAGCUAAUCGCAGAAAGUGUAUCGUAGUCCGGAUUGUAGUCUGCAACUCGACUGCAUGAAGUUGGAAUCGCUAGUAAUCGCGGAUCAGCAUGUCGCGGUGAAUACGUUCCCGGGUCUUGUACACACCGCCCGUCACACCAUGGGAGCGGGUUUUACCAGAAGUAGGUAGCUUAACCGUAAGGAGGGCGCUUACCACGGUAGGAUUCGUGACUGGGGUGAAGUCGUAACAAGGUAGCCGU
This 512-nucleotide ribosomal RNA is filed under the name uncultured bacterium. Its description in RNAcentral is "bacterial SSU rRNA". It matches the Rfam family "Bacterial small subunit ribosomal RNA", at positions 987 to 1503 of the family's 1533-position model. The record is from RNAcentral.